UACAGAGGUCUCAAGCGUUGUUCGGACUCAUUGGGCGUAAAGGGUGUGUAGGUGGCGCUGUAAGUCGGGUGUGAAAUCUCGGGGCUUAACUCCGAAACUGCAUUCGAUACUGCGGUGCUUGAGGACUGGAGAGGAGACUGGAAUUCAUGGUGUAGCAGUGAAAUGCGUAGAGAUCAUGAGGAAGACCAGUGGCGAAGGCGGGUCUCUGGACAGUUCCUGACACUGAGACACGAAGGCCAGGGGAGCAAACGGG
RNAcentral lists this ribosomal RNA (253 nucleotides) under uncultured bacterium. RNAcentral describes it as "partial 16S ribosomal RNA". It matches the Rfam family "Bacterial small subunit ribosomal RNA", at positions 524 to 776 of the family's 1533-position model. The record is from RNAcentral.